Molecule: ribosomal RNA, 253 nt
Filed under: uncultured bacterium
Lineage: Bacteria
Description: partial 16S ribosomal RNA
Rfam family: Bacterial small subunit ribosomal RNA
Source: RNAcentral
UACGAAGGGUGCAAACGUUGCUCGGAAUUAUUGGGCGUAAAGGGCGCGUAGGCGGCCUUCUAAGUCGAACGUGAAAUCCCCGGGCUCAACCCGGGAACUGCGUCCGAUACUGGAAGGCUUGAAUCCGGGAGAGGGAUGUGGAAUUCCAGGUGUAGCGGUGAAAUGCGUAGAUAUCUGGAGGAACACCGGUGGCGAAGGCGGCAUCCUGGACCGACACUGACGCUGAGGAGCGAAAGCCAGGGGAGCAAACGGG